UGGCACCAUUGCUGGCUUCAAGAGGGAUGAGACCAUAUGAAAGGAAUUCAGGCUAUCUCUGGAGCUGAGCACAACCCCCAGGUCACAUCCAACAAAGAAACAGGGACCUCAGUCCUAUAAACACCACCAACAGAAUGAACUUGGAAGCAGAUUUUCCCCCAGAGCAUCCAGAUAAGAACUCAGUCCACUCAACAUCUUCAGCUUUGUGAUAUUCCAGGCAUAUUGUGCUGAACUUCUGACUUACAGAACUACUGUACGCAUUGGGCAAACUAGUUUCUGCAGUUAGCGCUGUGCCCAAAAAGGCCUUGUCUCCACUCAAGCUAAAAAAAAAAGUCAGUCCUGAAAGGAUUAUAAAAGCAAGAAAGAAACAUGGACUCUAAGAAUUAACAACAGUGUGGGAAGCCACGGAGGAGAUUUAUGACUACCCUAAAUUGGUUUGUGUUUGGAUGGUGAGUGCCUGAAAAUUGCUACUGAAUAUUUUGAUGAGAAAAUGAAUUAAGAUAAAUCUUUUUAACUUUCUGCUUUUGAUUAUCUUUUUUUUCUUAUCUUAGGAUGACUAUUUCCUGCUCUUUAUUACUAGAAAUUGGCAGCAACAUCUCAGAUUGGAUAAUGGUACUGGUGGAAUAAUUACCAGAAAGAAAAAAACAUCCCCACUAAAGUGAUGAAAACAUGUACAGAUUGUCCAACCUUUUGCUUUUGUACCACUUCCCCUUCCAGAUGUCAGGGUUGUGAUUUAUUUCUCCCUAAGAGUUUAAAAAUAAAACUCUCAUCAUAAAAUUUGCCUGAUACUGAUGAAAAAUAAGAUGUAGUAAUUUAGGCUUUCAGACUAGACUCAGAAAUAGAAU
RNAcentral lists this long non-coding RNA (845 nucleotides) under Homo sapiens (human). RNAcentral describes it as "HSALNT0321505". The record is from RNAcentral. Lineage: Eukaryota; Metazoa; Chordata; Mammalia; Primates; Hominidae.